Molecule: ribosomal RNA, 337 nt
Filed under: Escherichia coli
Lineage: Bacteria; Pseudomonadati; Pseudomonadota; Gammaproteobacteria; Enterobacterales; Enterobacteriaceae
Description: bacterial SSU rRNA
Rfam family: Bacterial small subunit ribosomal RNA
Source: RNAcentral
UGGCAAGCUUGAGUCUCGUAGAGGGGGGUAGAAUUCCAGGUGUAGCGGUGAAAUGCGUAGAGAUCUGGAGGAAUACCGGUGGCGAAGGCGGCCCCCUGGACGAAGACUGACGCUCAGGUGCGAAAGCGUGGGGAGCAAACAGGAUUAGAUACCCUGGUAGUCCACGCCGUAAACGAUGUCGACUUGGAGGUUGUGCCCUUGAGGCGUGGCUUCCGGAGCUAACGCGUUAAGUCGACCGCCUGGGGAGUACGGCCGCAAGGUUAAAACUCAAAUGAAUUGACGGGGGCCCGCACAAGCGGUGGAGCAUGUGGUUUAAUUCGAUGCAACGCGAAGAACC